RNAcentral lists this small nucleolar RNA (100 nucleotides) under Sorghum bicolor (sorghum). Its description in RNAcentral is "Plant small nucleolar RNA R71". It matches the Rfam family "Plant small nucleolar RNA R71". Rfam says of the family: R71 is a member of the C/D box family of snoRNAs containing the C (UGAUGA) and D (CUGA) box motifs. The record is from Rfam by way of RNAcentral. Lineage: Eukaryota; Viridiplantae; Streptophyta; Magnoliopsida; Poales; Poaceae.
AGGCAUGAGGACAAUCUUGAAUGUAUCCUUGCAAACACUCCCAUGCUUCUAAAAUGGAUUUUGUCUGCUGCUUUUGGAAAUUAGUAAUAUGGUCUUGCCU